CAGGCGCCCCAUAGAAGUUUAUACAUAUAGUAUACGUUAAAUCCUGUGAAUGAUGCCCCAAGAAUAAACAAGUUUUGGGAGUAAAAUGAGUUCCUAAAUUGGUAAUUUCAACAUUUGAUUCUGUGCAGUGCCUUUAACCUUGCUAGGAGAUUAGAACUUUACUGUGUUCAAGUACCACUCAAUAAUAUUCACUGGCAUUUUCAGUGUUUGAAUAUACUCUAUCAGUUACAGUUCUUUGUAAAUAAUACUAAACUUCAUAAUUUUUAGGUAUUAAACAAUUUUUGAUAUUCAUAAUAGCAAGUAAAAAGUAUGCAAAAUGUUGAAAGUAUCUUAAGAAACAUAAAGAAAAUCACUUAGCUCAUCAUCUGUUUUAGAUCAGAAUAAAACACUCAUUUAUUAUUAUAUCCUUUUUUAACAGAACAGUUCUGAAACUUUUAGUGUAACCCUAUCCAUGAAUGAUUCAUGUUUAUUAUUAUGGGCACUCAUUACUAUCACAUAAAGAAAAUCUUAUGAAAAAUAUAGUAAUAACUUAUGAUUUUGAGAAUUCUCAAGAAUUUGCAGGGGUUCCGAAGUUUCAUUCCCAAAUCCCAAAGAUUCGUGUUUAUCAAGAAUUUGGAAAUACUAUUCUAUUCUCACACUUAGUUGAAGUGAGAGAGAUGCCUUUACACUCAGCAGAUGGAUUGAGCAGCUGGACCUCCAGGGGGCAGUUUGGGAAUCCCAAUGGUAACAACUCUUUUCAAUACGAAGUAAUGUUUUUAACUCUAGUGAUACGAAUAUGGGGAGUUGAAGUACUAUUAUGCUCUGUGAGGAUCAGAUAAAAUUUAAAUGAUGGAUCUAAAGUUAAAUUGCCAAGGUAUUUGUCAGGAUUCUCACACAUAGGAACGUAGAUUAUAACCCCAGGCAAUAACUUUGAAUAUUUGACUAUUACUCAAAGUGGGUUGAUUUCUAAGGCUGAUGUGAGUUGCUAUGAAAUAUACCAGUUGACUUAAAAGAGGUUCCAGUUAUACCAAGUGCUUCUCUUAGGACAACAGGGACUCUAUGCUAUCGAUGUCCUGAGGAACCAUUUCUGUUCAGACUCUGUUCUGGAUCCGGCUCAACUGAUGUGACAUUGUGUGACUGGCUGGGUACGGGACAGCUUUCGUGCCUGCAUUUAAUAGCUCAUGAAUUAUUUUAAGACUGAAAGCCCUCAGAAAUAAGAAGCAGCUUUCAGUGGCAUGGACAUCCUUCAGUCUCCACCUAUGUUGUAUAUUAAUUAUGUGAUCAGCAAUGCAUCAGGCUUGAGUGGAAGUCUAUGAAAAGACCAAGAGAAGGAUGACCUGGAAAGUCAGGUGCUUAUCAUUAUGUGAAAUAAGAUAAAGAUGAGAGUGAGGCCUUCCCACGUUGAGGCCGGUGGGGUGGAAUGGAAAUGAGGGGAUCCGAGCUCUAACCUUGGUUCUAUGUGCCAUUGGAUAAGUCAUUUGUUCUCUCUGGCUAAGAAGGUCUUUUUCGUAAAAUAAGAAAGCAAGCUGGAUGAUCUUUGUGAUUAACCGUAUCAGCAAACGAGUUUCAUUUUCACUGUCAGUGCCUUGGUUGAGGUCCUUAUUAACCCCAGUCUGACUAUUCCAAAUAUCGCCUGGGUUCCAGUUUCACAUUUGUCCACCCUGUUUUCCACAUUCUUGUUAGAGAUCUACCAAAAACACAGGUCUGAUCAUUUCAGCGCUCUCUUUACAACUCCACGGUGGUUUCCGAUUUCCUAUAAAACGAAGCAAAUUUAUUUUUUGUGGCAUUUAAAGCUCUUUAUGAUUUGGUUCCAUUUAUAUCUUCAGCCUCAUUGCUCUUUAUCCCUCAGAAUAUAUCCAUGGUUACACCUUACCCAUCUACUAAAAAGAUGAAAAUUUGUGAAACUGAAAGAUUUUGCUCUGGUCCUACUCUUUAUUUUGACCUGUAUAUAUUUAUGCUAGCUAUUACACCUGAACGAAAGGCCUUUCCUCACAAUCUGCACCUAGUGCUCUUCCUUUCAUUCUGCAAAAUUCAAAUGAAGUAUUUUCUGAUUCCCCUUCACGAGAAGAGUUGACUGUCUCUGACUUCAUGAAACCAUGGUAUCUAGCCCAUACUUCUAUGUGAUCGUAAUUAUACUGCAUUAAAACUUUUUAUUCAUCAUUUUUUCUUACAAUCAUCAAAUCUUAUUUUUCCGUAUUUAUUUUCUUGUCUAUCUCGUGGUUGCUACCUAAUAGAUUCUCAGUACAUGUUGGCUUACUGGAACUAGCAUUAAUGGGUAUCAGCUCCUUAAGGGUAGGGGCCAUAAUUAUCUUCUUCACCAUUAUAUACUCAGCAUUAAACAUAAUGUCUGAAACAAAAUAGAUGUUUAUUGAAUAUCUGUUAGGUGAAAUAUUCACAGGUUAAUAAAUGUAUUAAUGGUUUUUUGUUUGAAGAUAUCAACCCAAGUUCACCUCAGCUAUAGUUAGAGUCACUGUUGUCCUAUGGAAGUUUUUAUUUGGUAGAUAAUGUUAAUGUGAUGGGAAUGGUCAUUGAUUUUGGAAUAUACUAUUAAGUGAAGUUAAACGAGGAGAAAAUUAAAAACAAAUUCUUCUUUUAAGCUAUGCAUAUUUGGAAAGUAGACUUCGAAACUGUUCCUUUUAUACCUCUCAUUAUGUACUACACUCGUGGCCAGAAAGAUUCUAAUCCUUUUUCCGCAGGUAUAUCCUUCAUCCCCUGUUCCUUGUGCCACCAGUGAUUACCUGUGUAGUCUUGAUCAGUUUCCUCGUUUUAAAGAUAGACAUACUAAUUCUUAUUGCAUUUAUAGGGAUGAUGGAAGGCCAACUUGUAGGAAGGUGGUUUGCUAUCUGUAAAGCUCCAUACAAAGGAAAGAAAUUAUUCUUUCCAUAUAUGUCCCUAAUUCUAAAGUUACUCUUCGUGUCUAAAUCAAGUCCUCUUUCUUAAUCUUUAAUGCUAUUCUCAGAAGGUCUGGUCCUGUGGAAAUGAAGAUUAACCAUUCAUUUCCCUUUUUUUUUUCCUUUCUUUUCUUUAUUUUUAAUGUAACUGAUUGCCAAGUUGGUUAACAUACAGUGUAUACAGUGUGCUCUUGGUUUUGGGGGUAGAUUCCCGUGAUUCACCGCGUAUAUACAACACUCAGUGCUCAUUCCAGCAAGUGCCCUCCAAUGCCCAUCACUUCUAUUUGGUGAGGAGGUAUAUAUAUUCUAUUUAAUAUAACGCAAGUUAUUCAACACCUUCAAUUUCCUUUUCCACAUGUAUUAGUCAGCUUUGACUGCCAUAACAAAACACCAUAAGUUUCAUGGAUUAAACAACAGAAAUUUAUUUCUCAUAGGUCUAAAGGCUGAGUAACUCAAGAUUAAGACGCUGGCUGAGUCAGUUUCUGCUAAGAGCUCUCCUCCUGGCUUGCAGACAGCCACCUCCUUGCUGUGCCCUCACAUGGCAUGGAUACAGUUUUCUGGUGUCUAAGAGUAUGAAUUGUAUUGGGUCAAGGCCCAACCUUUAUGACCUCAUUUAACUUUAAUUACGUCUAUAAAGGUGCUAUCUCAAAUACUGUCACAUGGGGGUUAGGGCUCCAGCAUCUAAAUUGGGGAGAGUCAUGGUUCAGUCCUUAGCACCAUACUGAAUAACAGCUAUGGAAUUUUUUCCAUUUUGUGUCACCAGAUUUUUAAUUAAUGCCUAUGCUUCAUCCUGGUUAUAUGUACUUUAGUGAACUGGCAGAAUAUGUGUAUAGAUGUCAUCCUUGCAGUAGGAAACAUUCUGCCCUGGCCAUCAGAAAGUGUUUUCCUGGAAUGUGCUGUUCCUCUUUUGCUGCCAACUCUAAUGUUGAAGGUCAGAGGGUAACAGAUGAAAUCUAGAGAAUGCAAUCAACCAAUUCCCAACUUCUAAGUGGUGCCGAAGUGUUUUUAUUUCCUCCUGUGACUGAAUAGUGUCUCUUUGUUCCUCUUCACUGCUUGAUUCCCCACCUGAUUGUAGAACCACUUGGAAUUGAACUUACUUGCUUCAGGGGGACUUCAGUGUUGCCGUUACCCCCAUCAAAACCAGAAACUUUGGGAAAGCAGGUCAAAGGUAGACAGUUUGAAAAGUACCUCCACUGUCUCUGUUCCACACGGAGAGCACAUUACCACCUUUCCUCCCUGGCUGUGUUAUCUCAUUGCCACUCCAGAUCCAUUAUCUGCUCUUCUCUUCCCUGCCAUGUUCUAUGUCCUAAGAUUCUAAUAUCUCUGCAUCUCAUACACAAGCUGCUUUGUUUUUCAGCUUCCGGUUGAGUUUGACCAGUAGGAGGCAUUGGUGGGAGAAUGACAGUGUGGGAAAAAGGAAAGAUCAGCGUAUUUUUUCCUCCUCAUACUUGAUCUGGGAGGUAGUUUUAAUAUUGGCUGCAUUCUUCUACAUGAGAUAAUGGUUCCUUCUGGUGGCUCCUGUCCCAUAAUUAUAGCUUUCAAUGGUUUGAGAGAAUAUUGUAUCCUGCUUUGGACCAUUCAGAACUAAAGGUGAAAAUGGCUUAGCACUAUUGCUAGUUUCUAGGUGCUUCCCUGUCGCUUUUUAGUUCCCCUAACCCUGCCCAUAUCUCUGUAAAUGGUUCCUUUACUAAACGCUUUUUAAUUGCCUCCUUUGAAUAUGACAUUUGUUUCCUUCAAGGGUCAUGACUGAUCAAUGUAGAAACACUUAUACAGAGAAUCUAUCUCCUGUUAUAGCAACAAUUCCCAUGAAAGGGCCAGUCCACUAGUAUCUUUUUGUUUUCAUGGGAGUUUAUCUCAGGACUUGAUUGGUUUUCCCUAAAAUUUGAUUGAGGAUUUUCUGGGCCACCCUGGAAGUUUUAAAUAAUUUUGAAUCUCAUUCAAAUGAUUUGGGAGAAGGAAUUUGCCUCUAUGCUUUACCUUUCAGCUGACCCCUAUGCUUCUCACACACAUUAGCCUACCCCUUCCAAUAAUUUUUAGGCUGUGUCAAUUAUUUAACAGAUUAAAGAUAAAUAGAUAUCAGGGAAAUGCAAAUCAAAAUCACAGUGAAAUACCAUUUCACACCUAUAAGAUAACUGUAAUCAAUAAGACAGAUAAUAAAAAAAAUAUUGGCGAGGCAGUGGAGAAAUUGGAAUCUUAUGCACCAUGGUGCGAAUGUAAAGUAGUAUAGUCACUUUGGAAAACAGGCUGCAGUUUCUCCAAAAGUUAAAUAUAGUUUUACCAUAUGACCCAGCAAUUCCAUGUCUAUGUGUAUAUUCAAGAGAAAUGAAAACCUAUGCCCCCAAACUUGUACACAACUGUUCAUAUCAACAUUAUUUAUAGUAGCCAAAAAAGUGGAAACAACCCAAAUUUCCAUCAACUGGUGAAUGGAUAUAUGGUACAGAAUAGUAUUUGUUAUAAAAAGAAACAGAUUAUUGUUACAUGCCACAGCAAGAAUGACCCUUGAAAACGUUAUGUUAGGUGAAAGAGGACAGUCACCAAGGCCACAUUUGUAUGAUUCCAUUUACAUGAAAUAUGAAGAACAGGCAAAUCUAUAGAAACAGAAAGUAGAUUAGUGGUUGUCUUGGGCUGGAAGGGAAGGGUUGGAGGUAAAUGGGGAGUCAUUGCUAGUGGAAACCAUGUUGCUUUUUGCCAUGAUGAAAACAUUUUUUUUUAAUUUUUUUUUUAACGUUUAUUUAUUUUUGAGACAGAGAGAGACAGAGCAUGAACGGGGGAGGGGCAGAGAGAGAGGGAGACACAGAACCGGAAGCAGGCUCCAGGCUCCGAGCCAUCAGCCCAGAGCCCAACGCGGGGCUCAAACUCACAGACCGCGAGAUCGUGACCUGAGCUGAAGUCGGACGCUUAACCGACUGAGCCACCCAGGCGCCCCAUGAAAACAUUUUUAAA
Acinonyx jubatus (cheetah) is the source of this 5813-nucleotide long non-coding RNA. RefSeq lists it as uncharacterized. The record is from RefSeq and is a predicted model, not a curated record. NCBI's taxonomy places the organism in Eukaryota, Metazoa, Chordata, Mammalia, Carnivora, Felidae. The transcript is spliced from 2 exons.